AAUCUUCCGCAAUGGACGAAAGUCUGACGGAGCAACGCCGCGUGAGUGAUGAAGGNUUNNGGAUCNUNAAACUCUGUUGUUAGNNNNNAACAAGUAUCGGAGUCACUGCCGGUACCUUGACGGUACCUGACGAGAAAGCCACGGCUAACUACGUGCCAGCAGCCGCGGUAAUACGUAGGUGGCAAGCGUUGUCCGGAAUUACUGGGCGUAAAGGGUACGUAGGCGGCUAUAUAAGUCAGGUGUGAAAUACCAGUGCUUAACACUGGAAUUGCAUUUGAAACUGUGUAGCUUGAGUGCAGGAGAGGAAAGUGGAAUUCCUAGUGUAGCGGUGAAAUGCGUAGAGAUUAGGAGGAACACCAGUGGCGAAGGCGACUUUCUGGACUGUAACUGACGCUGAGGUACGAAAGCGUGGGUAGCGAACA
This 422-nucleotide ribosomal RNA is filed under the name uncultured bacterium. RNAcentral's name for it is "partial 16S ribosomal RNA". It matches the Rfam family "Bacterial small subunit ribosomal RNA", at positions 360 to 774 of the family's 1533-position model. The record is from RNAcentral.